RNAcentral lists this ribosomal RNA (428 nucleotides) under uncultured prokaryote. RNAcentral's name for it is "bacterial SSU rRNA". It matches the Rfam family "Bacterial small subunit ribosomal RNA", at positions 355 to 774 of the family's 1533-position model. The record is from RNAcentral.
UGAGGAAUUUUGCGCAAUGGGAGCAAUCCUGACGCAGCAACGCCGCGUGGGUGAUGAAGGCCUUCGGGUCGUAAAGCCCUGUCAGGUGGGAAGAAUGUCCCGGAACUGAACAGGUUUCGGGAGUGACGGUACCACCAGAGGAAGCACCGGCUAACUCCAUGCCAGCAGCCGCGGUAAUACGGAGGGUGCCAGCGUUAUUCGGAAUUACUGGGCGUAAAGCGCGUGUAGGCGGUCCUGCAAGGCUGAUGUGAAAGCCCCGGGCUUAACCCGGGAAGUUCAUUGGAAACUGCAGGGCUUGAGUACUGGAGAGGAUGGGGGAAUUCCCGGUGUAGAGUUGAAAUUCGUAGAGAUCGGGAGGAAUAUCAGUAGCGAAGGCGCCCAUCUGGCCGGUAACUGACGCUGAGACGCGAAAGCGUGGGGAGCAAACA